AGAGUUUGAUCCUGGCUCAGGAUGAACGCUGGCGGUCUGCUUAACACAUGCAAGUCGAACGGUUGUAGAAAUACGAUAGUGGCGGACGGGUGAGUAACGCGUGAGAAUCUGCCUUCAGGUCGGGGACAACCACUGGAAACGGUGGCUAAUACCCGAUGUGCGCAACGUGAAAGAUUUAUCGCCUGAAGAGGAGCUCGCGUCUGAUUAGCUAGUUGGUGGGGUAAAAGCUCACCAAGGCGACGAUCAGUAGCUGGUCUGAGAGGAUGAUCAGCCACACUGGGACUGAGACACGGCCCAGACUCCUACGGGAGGCAGCAGUGGGGAAUUUUCCGCAAUGGGCGAAAGCCUGACGGAGCAAGACCGCGUGAGGGAGGAAGGCUCUUGGGUUGUAAACCUCUUUUCUCAGGGAAGAACUUCAUGACGGUACCUGAGGAAUCAGCCUCGGCUAACUCCGUGCCAGCAGCCGCGGUAAUACGGAGGAGGCAAGCGUUAUCCGGAAUUAUUGGGCGUAAAGCGUCCGCAGGUGGCACUUCAAGUCUGUCGUCAAAGACUGGGGCUUAACCCUGGAAAGGCGGUGGAAACUGAAGCGCUAGAGUGUGGUAGGGGUAGAGGGAAUUCCCGGUGUAGCGGUGAAAUGCGUAGAGAUCGGGAAGAACAUCGGUGGCGAAAGCGCUCUACUGGACCACAACUGACACUCAGGGACGAAAGCUAGGGGAGCGAAUGGGAUUAGAUACCCCAGUAGUCCUAGCCGUAAACGAUGGAUACUAGGUGUGGCUCGUAUCGACCCGAGCCGUGCCGUAGCUAACGCGUUAAGUAUCCCGCCUGGGGAGUACGCUCGCAAGAGUGAAACUCAAAGGAAUUGACGG
Molecule: ribosomal RNA, 866 nt
Filed under: uncultured bacterium
Lineage: Bacteria
Description: bacterial SSU rRNA
Rfam family: Bacterial small subunit ribosomal RNA
Source: RNAcentral